This 207-nucleotide ribosomal RNA is filed under the name uncultured bacterium. RNAcentral's name for it is "partial 16S ribosomal RNA". It matches the Rfam family "Bacterial small subunit ribosomal RNA", at positions 1294 to 1500 of the family's 1533-position model. The record is from RNAcentral.
CGGAUUGUAGUCUGCAACCCGACUACAUGAAGCUGGAAUCGCUAGUAAUCGCGGAUCAGAAUGCCGCGGUGAAUACGUUCCCGGGUCUUGUACACACCGCCCGUCACACCAUGGGAGUCGGAAAUGCCCGAAGUCGGUGACCGAACCGAAAGGAAGGAGCCGCCGAAGGCAGGUCUGGUGACUGGGGUGAAGUCGUAACAAGGUAUC